CAGCAGCACUCCCAGACUCAAAAAUCUCUCUCCUUCCUCCUCUCUUUCAUCUCCCUAGAUCGAGAUCCAGAUCCGGUUCUUGGGAGCCCAGCCUCUGGUAUUGCUCCUGUUUCGGCGUCUACUUGGCUGCAACAUGCCCCGGUCACCCUCUCCGCCAACCCCUUGUGCUCCACUUCCACGUGAAGCUCACCGUCAAGCACCUUCUUUGGCUGCUUGGCCUCGCCGUGGCCGCUCCAGCGCCCGCUCAUCCUCCGCUGUUGCCAGGCUGCCGCUUGCCGGGUGGGCGUGUGCCCCUCCUAGGGGCAUGUGCGCUCCCCACAGCCACCUAUCCCUGCUGGCUAAGGGGCAAUGGUGAAUCCCUACUUCCUCAGCUGCCCUCCCUUCCCUUCUUGAUCAAUUAUGCGAAUCUUUGGUCGCGGUCGUGCUAUGGUCUUCUGGGGAGCGCUGGUGGCAUCUCAGGUGUUGUGGUCGGGCGGGUGGAGGGCCGGUGGCCGCCUCUGGCUGCUAGCGAUGCGGGGGCGUGCAGUGGUAACAUGCUAGCUACGGAUCUUGGUUGCCGGCGUGGCUGCAACCUAUCUUGCGCGGCCCGUGCUGCUCCUCCCUUGCAGUCUUGGAACGGUUUGGUUGAUUCCGGUGGCCGCACGAAUGCUGAUUGGAUGUCAGGGUCGUGCAAUGAGAGUGCUGCCCUCAGCGCGCGGGGGAGGGGGGUUGCCAUGCACCUUCGCACGGCCCCGACGAGGCCCUAGCUACUUUGCUAAUCUCUCUGGCUGCAUUGUUGGAUGCUGUGUAGCAAAAGCACCACGCUCGGCGCACAGGGAGGUGCUCCACCUCCGCACAGCCCAACCAGGGUCUUUGCUACCUCCUUCUCCCAGCGUGCGUUGACGGUCUCUGUAUGUUGCGGCAUCUUGAGCAGCCAGUCUUAGCUUAUUGCGGGUGGUUGCGACCAAGCUCAGAUGUUGGGCACUAAUUGGCACUUUGGUUUUGUGGAAAUGGCUUUGUUCAGGUGAGGGUUCAUCCCUCCCUAUUGCCCACCCCUGUUGUCACAAGUCGGGCUACUCUUAGUGCUUGACGUCUGUUUGCAAAUUGGACGUUGUCGUGUGCAGGAUUGUAUAGCAGUGGUACCCCAACUCUCAGCUGCUUGACUACUACCGGUGUAAUUUCUCUAAUGUACUUUAGUAUUGGGUGUGUGUGCUGCGAUUGUAAUCCUUCGUGGAUCCCUUCGUUUUCUAUUUCUAUGUAUCCUGAUCACCACCUCUUUGGGGUGGCUGCCUGAUCUCGUAGUAUCUCCUUUGAUGGAAUAAAAAUGUUCAGGUGCGCACUUACUUGCCCCCCCCCCCCCCCCCCCCCCCCCUCGAUUCCUUUAAAAAAAAAGCAUGAUUUACAAAAUGUAUACACUACUUACAAGAACCGUGGUUGCACUAGAAUAGGCAAGCCGCGUGUAUUAUAUCAAAUUAAAUUACAGAUACAAAUCAUUUCAUCUUUGAAGUCUCAUUCUGUUGUCAAUGAUCGACAUUUCUGAAAUGACUAAACAAAAUUAUCCUAGAUCACUAAUAGCCGUCAGGGAUUAUAUAAAAAGAUAUCUGACGAUAAACAGCUGGGCAUGUUAAUUCGCUUGGCAAUUGUUGCACAAUACGAAAAGCAAACUGGAUUUAAAACUCCCUCCCGUCAACUCCAUUCUUCCGUCACCCAAAAUCUUCACUGAUUACA
Molecule: long non-coding RNA, 1707 nt
Filed under: Setaria viridis
Lineage: Eukaryota; Viridiplantae; Streptophyta; Magnoliopsida; Poales; Poaceae
Description: long non-coding RNA (SVIR_LNC004829)
Source: RNAcentral